CUCUAAUUGAGGGGAGCACAGGCUGUACGUUAUCAGAUGUUGCUGAUGUCCUUCACAGGAGAUUUUUGUCAAUGGGACACAAAGCAUUUCAGCAACACUGAAAUGCACAAUUCCAGCACGAAGGUGACCUGAGCUGAUGGGAGGAGGCAGAGCAGAGUGCUUUGUCCCACUGCUCGCACUUGGGUGCCAGAAAGGAAGCUCUGGAAGGAUGUGUCCUGCAGAAAGCUGAAGGGAUGAGGCCAGGACACUUCAUAGAAGAUGAGCUUCAGAUCACUCCAACCUUAAUAAAUGCUGCCAGAGUUGGUUCCACCCAUUAGCAGUUGUCAGCAGGUUGUCUUUGCUUAACUGGCAGCAUCACUCAGUUGCACUCAGCAGCACCUCCCUGGAAGAGCAGUUUGCAAACCUUCCUGAGAAGUAAAUAAACACAGCGGCGAUCACAAUAUGCACUAAGAACUGAAAUGUCACCUGCUCACAGAACGUCAGAAUGCAUCAUCUUGGGCUUCUUUAGCAAUUCCUGCUGCUGGCUACGUGCUCCUA
Molecule: non-coding RNA, 537 nt
Organism: Coturnix japonica (Japanese quail)
Lineage: Eukaryota; Metazoa; Chordata; Aves; Galliformes; Phasianidae
Source: RefSeq, a predicted model, not a curated record